This 357-nucleotide small RNA is filed under the name Rattus norvegicus (Norway rat). RNAcentral's name for it is "uncharacterized LOC103691486". Lineage: Eukaryota; Metazoa; Chordata; Mammalia; Rodentia; Muridae. The record is from RNAcentral.
GGAAUACCCAGGCUUAUGGUCCCCUUGCUUCAGAGCACCAAGUUUUCAGUGAUGAAAAACUGUAUAGUGAAAGCCUCCAGUGAAUAGUCUCAGAGAUUAUCAUGGACGAGCUGGGCAAAAAAGGACUGUAGAAACCAGAAGACCUAGAUGGCUACUGUGAGAUCGUGUCUUUUCUAUAUGACAUGAAGUUGCAUCCAUGAUAUUUUGAACAAUGUACUCACCCGAAAAAGAAUUGCACAAUGACAUCAGUUGGCGUCCAAAUGUGGGUGGGGAGACUUACAAGGCCUUACCUUUAGUUGAAGAACUACAGGGUAUAAUGGCGCCCUAAAGUGGGAGAAUAAAUCUUCAGGAAUGAGA